This 495-nucleotide ribosomal RNA is filed under the name uncultured bacterium. Its description in RNAcentral is "partial 16S ribosomal RNA". It matches the Rfam family "Bacterial small subunit ribosomal RNA", at positions 28 to 507 of the family's 1533-position model. The record is from RNAcentral.
GACGAACGCUGGCGGCGUGCCUAAUACAUGCAAGUAGAACGCUGAAGGAGGAGCUUGCUUCUCUGGAUGAGUUGCGAACGGGUGAGUAACGCGUAGGUAACCUGCCUGGUAGCGGGGGAUAACUAUUGGAAACGAUAGCUAAUACCGCAUAAGAGUAGAUGUUGCAUGACAUUUACUUAAAAGGUGCAAUUGCAUCACUACCAGAUGGACCUGCGUUGUAUUAGCUAGUUGGUGAGGUAACGGCUCACCAAGGCAACGAUACAUAGCCGACCUGAGAGGGGGAACGGCCACACUGGGACUGAGACACGGCCCAGACUCCUACGGGGGGCAGCCGUAGGGAAACUUCGGCAAUGGGCGGAAGUCUGAACGAGCAACGCCGCAGGAGUGAAGAAGGGUUUCGGGUCGUAAAACUCCGUUGUAAGAGAAGAACGAGUGUGAGAGUGAAAAGUUCACACUGUGACGGUAGCUUAUCAGAAAGGGACGGCUAACUACGUG